Molecule: non-coding RNA, 198 nt
Filed under: Desulfosarcina cetonica
Lineage: Bacteria; Pseudomonadati; Thermodesulfobacteriota; Desulfobacteria; Desulfobacterales; Desulfosarcinaceae
Source: RNAcentral
AAAAAGGUUCUGUAUUCUGGUGCGAGAAGCAAAAUAGGGCACUCCGUGAGAAUCGGAGACGGAUCCGCCGCUGUGAUCCCUCCCGGCCAUGCCGGGAACAUCCUUGGGCAUCGGACCACUGUUUCAGCGAACUGAAACGGGAAGGCGCUUAAAAGGACGGGGAAAGUCAGAAGACCUGCCAGAGUACGUAUACCGGCC